This is a non-coding RNA of Eptesicus fuscus (big brown bat), 79 nucleotides long. The record is from RefSeq and is marked provisional. NCBI's taxonomy places the organism in Eukaryota, Metazoa, Chordata, Mammalia, Chiroptera, Vespertilionidae.
CGCUGCCAAACAGUCUAGUCUCUCCCCCAAAGAAUCUGGAUUCCCAGAUUCUCGCCCGGAACUGGGGUUUCAGUGCAGU